Molecule: ribosomal RNA, 509 nt
Filed under: Cryptosporidium canis
Lineage: Eukaryota; Apicomplexa; Conoidasida; Eucoccidiorida; Cryptosporidiidae
Description: SSU rRNA
Rfam family: Eukaryotic small subunit ribosomal RNA
Source: RNAcentral
AUUGGAGGGCAAGUCUGGUGCCAGCAGCCGCGGUAAUUCCAGCUCCAAUAGCGUAUAUUAAAGUUGUUGCAGUUAAAAAGCUCGUAGUUGGAUUUCUGUUAAUAAUUUAUAUAUAAUAUUUAACAUAUUUAUAUAAUAUUAACAUAAUUCAUAUUACUAUUUUGAUAGUAUAUGAAACUUUACUUUGAGAAAAUUAGAGUGCUUAAAGCAGGCUUUAGCCUUGAAUACUAGAGCAUGGAAUAAUAUUAAAGAUUUUUAUCUUUCUUAUUGGUUCUAAGAUAGAAAUAAUGAUUAAUAGGGACAGUUGGGGGCAUUUGUAUUUAACAGUUAGAGGUGAAAUUCUUAGAUUUGUUAAAGACAAACUAAUGCGAAAGCAUUUGCCAAGGAUGUUUUCAUUAAUCAAGAACGAAAGUUAGGGGAUCGAAGACGAUCAGAUACCGUCGUAGUCUUAACCAUAAACUAUGCCAACUAGAGAUUGGAGGUUGUUCCUUACUCCUUCAGCACCUUAA